Molecule: ribosomal RNA, 422 nt
Filed under: uncultured bacterium
Lineage: Bacteria
Description: bacterial SSU rRNA
Rfam family: Bacterial small subunit ribosomal RNA
Source: RNAcentral
UGAGGAAUAUUGGGCAAUGCCCGCAAGGGUGACCCAGCAACGCCGCGUGGAGGAUGAAUGUCGUAAGAUUGUAAACUCCUGUUAGAUGGGAAGAAUAGUACCGGUUGGACCGGUAUAUGACUGUACCCUCAGAGAAAGCCCCGGCUAACUACGUGCCAGCAGCCGCGGUAAUACGUAGGGGGCAAGCGUUGUCCGGAUUUACUGGGUGUAAAGGGCGCGCAGGCGGGAUAAAAAGUCAGUGGUGAAAUCCUACAGCUUAACUGUAGAACUGCCUUUGAUACUUUUAUUCUUGAGUUCGGGAGAGAGAGACGGAAUUCCAGGUGUAGUGGUGAAAUACGUAGAUAUCUGGAAGAACACCAGUUGCGAAGGCGGUCUCUUGGUCCGACACUGACGCUGAGGCGCGAAAGCGUGGGGAGCAAACA